Long non-coding RNA from Lynx canadensis (Canada lynx), 474 nucleotides. RefSeq lists it as uncharacterized. The transcript has 2 exons. The record is from RefSeq and is a predicted model, not a curated record. NCBI's taxonomy places the organism in Eukaryota, Metazoa, Chordata, Mammalia, Carnivora, Felidae.
CAGAUGUUUUUGGACAAACGGAAACCGGAGGACUUGCCACCAGCAGAUCUGAGCUGAGGCCGGAGGGAGGUGGUCCAGGCACAGGUGCCGGAGGAAAAGGAGGCAGCUAGGAAGCCCUCCAGAUGUUUGGGAUUUAAGUGCCAGGCUUCCACGGGGCCCACGAGUCAAAGAAGCAGAUGCGCCAAGGAGUGAUCGAGACCCACGCAUGUGUCCCAAACUGGAAAGAGGAUGUUCGGUGCGACUGGGGGCUUGUGGCUGCAGGUGGCUCUCUGGCCUCCCUCCAGUGAUGAAGCAUCACCUCAGCCAGUUCAGACCAGGCGGUGAGGGAAAGACAGCCCUAAGGACACCUUCCGAGCUCCUGGAGGCAGCCAAGCCUGAGCCCUUCCCCAGGCCCGUUCACAUCCGCCAGCUGGUAAUACCCCUUCCCGCUGUUUGCAUAAGAACACCAUGUUGCAAAGAACAUUCUUUUACACA